UUGAACCCAUCGCCCCUACAUUGGAUGCGAAGAGACUUAACCACUGGCCCACCAGGGAAGCCUCCUGGGUUUUAUUAUUAUGUGUCUCAGCAGAGCUUUCAACCUCAUCACCUUCCCCACUCAUGCAGCGGCUUUCUUUUCGCUACCUCUGAGAAGACCCUCGGGAGAGGCUGGCCUGGGGUCUUCCCAGCAAAUGCGCAUCUGGCUCCGGGCUGCUGUGAUGGAUAGAGGCAAUUUCCCCGCGAAAUCGGCUGCAGUAUUGGCAGUUGCACGGGACAUCCAUUACAUUCCUGCGGAGAGAGAGCUUUUCCAGGGAGCCUCAGGAUGGAGCGAUGCCACUCACAAGGCGGGUGGGGAAGCAGAAAUAACCUAAAGGGAAAGGCGUCUAUUUUAAUUUUUUGCAGAGCUGCGUCUCCUGCAUAUGGGUCCAGCCCACUCUUGUGAAGCGGCUCCUUUUGGAAAAUAAGGGGACUUGCAAACGGCUUUGUUAAAGGUAAGGACGCUAAGAGAAACAGAAGCUCGUGCAAACAGAACCCAGUGCCUCUAUGUGCAUAGGCAGACCCCUUGAUCAAGGAGCC
RNAcentral lists this long non-coding RNA (578 nucleotides) under Bos indicus x Bos taurus (hybrid cattle). Its description in RNAcentral is "lncRNA (ENSBIXG00005031157.1)". Lineage: Eukaryota; Metazoa; Chordata; Mammalia; Artiodactyla; Bovidae. The record is from RNAcentral.